Molecule: ribosomal RNA, 505 nt
Filed under: uncultured bacterium
Lineage: Bacteria
Description: partial 16S ribosomal RNA
Rfam family: Bacterial small subunit ribosomal RNA
Source: RNAcentral
GACGAACGCUGGCGGCGUGCCUAAUACAUGCAAGUAGAACGCACAGUUUAUACCGUAGCUUGCUACACCAUAGACUGUGAGUUGCGAACGGGUGAGUAACGCGUAGGUAACCUGCCUGGUAGCGGGGGAUAACUAUUGGAAACGAUAGCUAAUACCGCAUAAUAUUAAUUAUUGCAUGAUAAUUAAUUGAAAGGUGCAAUUGCACCACUACCAGAUGGACCUGCGUUGUAUUAGCUAGUAGGUGAGGUAACGGCUCACCUAGGCGACGAUACAUAGCCGACCUGAGAGGGUGAUCGGCCACACUGGGACUGGGACACGGCCCAGACUCCUACGGGAGGCAGCAGUAGGGGAUCUUCGGCAAUGGACGAAAGUCUGACCGAGCAACGCCGCGUGAGUGAAGAAGGUUUUCGGAUCGUAAAGCUCUGUUGUAAGAGAAGAACGGGUGUGAGAGUGGAAAGUUCACACUGUGACGGUAUCUUACCAGAAAGGGACGGCUAACUACGUG